Molecule: unclassified non-coding RNA, 248 nt
Filed under: Glomus sp.
Lineage: Eukaryota; Fungi; Glomeromycota; Glomeromycetes; Glomerales; Glomeraceae
Description: partial contains 5.8S ribosomal RNA and internal transcribed spacer 2
Rfam family: 5.8S ribosomal RNA (bases 1-65)
Source: RNAcentral
GUGAAUCAUCGAAUCUUUGAACGCAAAUUGCACUCUCUUCGGUGAGUAUGACCGUUUGAGGGUCAGCCUAUAUAAAGUCGACAUCGUUGCUGUUUCGCGGUGGCGUUCGUCGGAAAUUGGGUCAUUUUAAAUCUUUUGGUUUUAAGCGAAUUAAUUUUAUAUUUUUGUUUCUAUGAACGUUUCUAAGAUUUAUUUCUUUGAAGGUUUACGGAAUUGAUUUUUAUUAGUUGUGAUCUUCAUGAGGGAUG